AUUGAACGCUGGCGGUAUGCUUAACACAUGCAAGUCGAACGAGUAGUUACUUCGGUAACGAGAGUGGCGGACGGGUGAGUAACGCGUAGGAAUCUGCCUCAUAGUGGGGGACAACGUGGGGAAACUCACGCUAAUACCGCAUACGCCCUACGGGGGAAAGCGGGGGACCUUCGGGCCUCGCGCUAUGAGAUGAGCCUGCGUAGGAUUAGCUAGUUGGUGGGGUAAAGGCCUACCAAGGCGACGAUCCUUAGCUGGUCUGAGAGGACGAUCAGCCACACUGGGACUGAGACACGGCCCAGACUCCUACGGGAGGCAGCAGUGGGGAAUAUUGGACAAUGGGCGCAAGCCUGAUCCAGCAAUACCGCGUGUGUGAAGAAGGCCUUAGGGUUGUAAAGCACUUUCAAUUGGGAGGAAUACCUACCGGUCAAUACCCGGUAGCUUGACAUUACCUUUAGAAGAAGCACCGGCUAACUCCGUGCCAGCCGCCGCCGUAA
RNAcentral lists this ribosomal RNA (494 nucleotides) under uncultured bacterium. Its description in RNAcentral is "partial 16S ribosomal RNA". It matches the Rfam family "Bacterial small subunit ribosomal RNA", at positions 30 to 523 of the family's 1533-position model. The record is from RNAcentral.